This 449-nucleotide ribosomal RNA is filed under the name uncultured bacterium. RNAcentral describes it as "partial 16S ribosomal RNA". It matches the Rfam family "Bacterial small subunit ribosomal RNA", at positions 29 to 523 of the family's 1533-position model. The record is from RNAcentral.
AAUGAACGCUGGCGGCAGGCCUAACACAUGCAAGUCGAACGAGGUAGCAAUACCUAGUGGCGGACGGGUGAGUAACGCGUGGGAACGUGCCCCUUGGUACGGAAUAGCCCUGGGAAACUGGGAGUAAUACCGUAUGUGGUCGAGAGACGCAGGAUUUAUCGCCAAGGGAUCGGCCCGCGUUGGAUUAGGUAGUAGGUGGGGUAAUGGCCUACCAAGCCGCAGAUCCAUAGCUGGUUUGGGCGGAUUGUCAGCCACACUGGGACUGGGACACGGCCCAGACUCCUACGGGAGGCAGCAGUGGGGAAUCUGAGACAAUGGGGGAAACCCUGAUCUAGCCAUGCCGCGUGAUCGAUGAAGGCCUUAGGGUUGUAAAGAUCUUUCAGUGGGGAAGAUAAUGACGGUACCCACAGAAGAAGCCCCGGCUAACUCCGUGCCAGCUGCCGCAGUAA